This 102-nucleotide non-coding RNA is filed under the name Niallia circulans. Its description in RNAcentral is "Bacillus circulans Guanine sequence". It matches the Rfam family "Purine riboswitch aptamer". Rfam says of the family: Riboswitches are metabolite binding domains within certain messenger RNAs that serve as precision sensors for their corresponding targets. Allosteric rearrangement of mRNA structure is mediated by ligand binding, and this results in modulation of gene expression. Lineage: Bacteria; Bacillati; Bacillota; Bacilli; Caryophanales; Bacillaceae. The record is from Rfam by way of RNAcentral.
UUAAAAGAAUAGAUAGAACCUUGUAUAAAUUCAAGAAUAUGGCUUGAAAGUUUCUACCAGCUACCAAUAAAUAGCUUGUCUACAAGGAAUGGAAAUUUUAUA